This 465-nucleotide ribosomal RNA is filed under the name uncultured bacterium. RNAcentral describes it as "partial 16S ribosomal RNA". It matches the Rfam family "Bacterial small subunit ribosomal RNA", at positions 338 to 795 of the family's 1533-position model. The record is from RNAcentral.
CCUACGGGCGGCAGCAGUGGGGAAUAUUGCGCAAUGGACGAAAGUCUGACGCAGCGACGCCGCGUGAGGGAUGAAGGUUUUCGGAUCGUAAACCUCUGUCAGGAGGGAAGAAAGCGCAUGGCGCCAAUCAGCCAUGCGUUGACGGUACCUCCAAAGGAAGCGCCGGCUAACUCCGUGCCAGCAGCCGCGGUAAUACGGAGGGCGCGAGCGUUAAUCGGAAUUACUGGGCGUAAAGCGCGCGUAGGCUGUUGUGUAAGUUGGGGGUGAAAUCCCACGGCUCAACCGUGGAACAGCCCUUGAUACUGCGCGACUUGAAUCCGGGAGAGGGUGGCGGAAUUCCAGGUGUAGGAGUGAAAUCCGUAGAUAUCAGGAGGAACAUCGGUGGCGUAAGCGCUUUACUGGGCCGUAAUUGACACUGAGGAACGAAAGCCGGGGUAGCAAAUGGGAUUAGAUACCCGUGUAGUC